GUUACUCGGAAUUACUGGGCGUAAAGCGCGCGUAGGCGGUUCGUUAAGUUGGAUGUGAAAUCCCCGGGCUCAACCUGGGAACUGCAUUCAAAACUGUCGAGCUAGAGUAUGGUAGAGGGUGGUGGAAUUUCCGGUGUAGCGGUGAAAUGCGUAGAUAUCGGAAGGAACACCAGUGGCGAAAGCGGCUUCCUGGUCCAGCACCGACGUUCAGGCACGAAAGCGUGGGGAGCAAACAGG
Molecule: ribosomal RNA, 237 nt
Filed under: uncultured bacterium
Lineage: Bacteria
Description: partial 16S ribosomal RNA
Rfam family: Bacterial small subunit ribosomal RNA
Source: RNAcentral